Molecule: ribosomal RNA, 253 nt
Filed under: uncultured bacterium
Lineage: Bacteria
Description: partial 16S ribosomal RNA
Rfam family: Bacterial small subunit ribosomal RNA
Source: RNAcentral
UACGGAGAGUGCAAGCGUUGUUCGGAUUCACUGGGCGGAAAGGGCACGUAGGCGGCUCGGCAAAUCGGUCGUGGAAUCUCGACGCUUACCGUCGAAACGGCGGCCGAAAAUACCGGGCUCGAGGGCGUGAGGGGUCACUGGAACUCCUGGUGAAGCGGUGAAAUGCGUAGAUAUCAGGAGGAACGCCGGAGGCGAAAGCGAGUGACUGGCGCGUUCCUGACGCUGAGGUGCGAAAGCGUGGGGAGCGAACAGG